GUUGUAGUGGUCGAGUGGUUAAGGCGAUGAACUAGAAAUCUUUUGGGAUCUUCCCGCGCAGGUUCGAAUCCUGCCGACAUCG
RNAcentral lists this transfer RNA (82 nucleotides) under Dreissena polymorpha. It matches the Rfam family "tRNA". From Rfam's summary of the family: Transfer RNA (tRNA) molecules are approximately 80 nucleotides in length. Their secondary structure includes four short double-helical elements and three loops (D, anti-codon, and T loops). The record is from Rfam by way of RNAcentral. Lineage: Eukaryota; Metazoa; Mollusca; Bivalvia; Myida; Dreissenidae.